Molecule: long non-coding RNA, 510 nt
Organism: Phascolarctos cinereus (koala)
Lineage: Eukaryota; Metazoa; Chordata; Mammalia; Diprotodontia; Phascolarctidae
Source: RefSeq, a predicted model, not a curated record
UAUAGCUUUCAGGAAAAGGAAGCUUCCGCUGAAUUCUGCAUCUAAUCUCAUUGUAUAGAUUUCCCUGUCAGACCUCAUCUGGAGUACUAUGUUCAAUUCUAUUCACCAUGGUUUAAUAAAGACAAUGUCUAGACAAGCAACAGAACAAUACAUCAAGGCAUGAUCAGUAGCAUUUGCUCCUAAGUGCCAGCCAGUUGGAUGGGGCUGGUUCCAGCACACCCCUGCGUCUCGGCAUUAUAGUGAAAAUCUAGGAGGAGAGUCAUCAGGAGUGAGGCCUGGAGAAGAAUGCAAGGAGUAGAACCAAAUGCUUAUUAAAUUGAAGUGAAUUGGCUCAUUUGGAGAAGAAUGAACAGACUAUUUGAGCAUGAGUACAGAGUGUGCCAAAUGAGAUGGUGUGAGAAACUUGAAAAGGUAACCCAUGAUGCCCCUCUUUGCCACCACAAUGACUAAGGAGCUGAUGUGGGUUGCCAGGAAGUGUUGGUGGCAGCUAGGUGGCACAGUGGAUAGUGC